RNAcentral lists this transfer RNA (72 nucleotides) under Camelus dromedarius (Arabian camel). It matches the Rfam family "tRNA". From Rfam's summary of the family: Transfer RNA (tRNA) molecules are approximately 80 nucleotides in length. Their secondary structure includes four short double-helical elements and three loops (D, anti-codon, and T loops). RNAcentral also lists the same sequence under 1 other name. The record is from Rfam by way of RNAcentral. Lineage: Eukaryota; Metazoa; Chordata; Mammalia; Artiodactyla; Camelidae.
GAGGGUGUAGCUCAGUGGUAGAGCACAUGCUUAGCAUGCACAAGGCCCUGGGUUCAAUCCCCAGUACCUCUG